UGUAAAUGAAAGUGCUCUCAAUGUUUGUUCACAGGUUUGUGUGUGUCCAUAUGUGAAGACACAGGUGUGGGAUUCCCUCAAGGGAGGAAUUGCUGGGUCAUAUGAUAUUCUGAUUUUCCAGUACGUUUUCAGAUCGAAAAUUAUUGGAAGAAACUGACAACCUAACGUAAGUUAACCAAACAGCAAAGAGUUGGAUAACUGUUUGGGCCUUUUUAUUGCUGAGACU
This 226-nucleotide long non-coding RNA is filed under the name Mustela putorius furo (domestic ferret). RNAcentral describes it as "lncRNA (ENSMPUG00000024829.1)". Lineage: Eukaryota; Metazoa; Chordata; Mammalia; Carnivora; Mustelidae. The record is from RNAcentral.